AGCGGCCUAGGGUAGCUAGGAGUGGUUGGGCUAUCGUUCUAGGUAGUCCCUUCUACCAGCACUUAUCCCGCGGGGCUCAUAACCCCGAGAUCGGAUGGUUCAAAUCCUCCGGCCGCUACCA
This 121-nucleotide transfer RNA is filed under the name Candidatus Heimdallarchaeota archaeon. RNAcentral describes it as "tRNA-Met". The record is from RNAcentral. Lineage: Archaea; Promethearchaeati; Candidatus Heimdallarchaeota.